Long non-coding RNA from Wasmannia auropunctata (little fire ant), 2079 nucleotides. RefSeq lists it as uncharacterized. The transcript is spliced from 2 exons. The record is from RefSeq and is a predicted model, not a curated record. Lineage: Eukaryota; Metazoa; Arthropoda; Insecta; Hymenoptera; Formicidae.
ACCUUGACAAAAUUAAAUCUUUGCAUUAUGGAUUUAAUCAUUACAAAAAACGAACUCCAAUAAAAAUGGACAGUAUAGUGGAAAGAGUGCAUACCUAUACCGUAGGACGUUACUCAGUACCAAAUACGUAAAUACGACACACUCGGAUCCACGCUUAUUUUUAGAAAAUUGAACUGAUGAAAUAAUUUCUACAUUUCAGUGUGUUUAAAUUAAAAUUGUAAUGUAUUUAAAUUAUGUAGCUGGAUGUCUAUAAUAUACAAAAUAUUUAAAUUCAUAAUGCAAACAUAUAUGUGCAGAUACGGGCACGUUCUUGCUGUGAACGGAGUACACACAUUACUAUUGAUAAAGAGUAUAGUCCACUAUUACGGACUACAUUUCAUAUAAUGAAGACUACUAAUUGUAAGACCAGUAGUCUCAAAUCAUAAGCUCAUUAUUGACGAGACAGUAGUUUUUGGUAUUUGAUUGAAAAGUUGUAAUAAUUUCGCUACUAAAUUCACAAAAACUGUAACUAAAUCUUUAUUAAAUGUUAGUUUAGUUUUAAGAUAUUACUGUCAAUGCAUAUAUAAUUAGAACAAAUAAUGAAAGCCGUAAAUUCUGUGACGUAUUAAUUUAAUUAUCUCUAUCAAUCUUAUUUACAAUUAUAAAUAAGGUUUUGUGAAUUUAAUAGUGAAAGCUUUUUCAUAACAAAUCAUUAAAAACUUUGACAAAUGGUACUAAUAAUAAUUGCAAUUGAUAUUGGAAUACAAUUAUAUAAUUGGAUAAUUUUAUAGCGUAGAAUAGUUUAAGGAGAGAAAUAAGGCAGAAAAGCAUUCUUAAAAAUAAUAAAUACUAUUUUCAUUUUUAAAAGCAGAUACAAAUAAAAAUUAUAAAUGUUUAUUUGCAAAAAGAAUACAAUUACAGUCAGAAGCAACAAUUAGUCAUUUUGGCUGUUUUUUUGCACAAUCAAAAUAUUAAUGUUAAUUUUUAAUUAAAAUUCGGAUUCACCAUGCAAACUUAUGUUAAAAAACAAAAUGAUUAUUAUACUUCAUUUACAAUAGUCGAGAUCUGAAGUUUUGACUAUAUAAAUAUGGACUGCUAGUCUACUGCUAGUCCCCCCAGGCCCCCACUUUUACUAUGUAAAAGACAUAUACCCGGUGUCGCCGAGCUGAAGUUGGUUGAGAUAUCGAACUUCGAUUGUUAGGCUCCACCCUAGUCAAUAAAAAAAUGUCAAAUAUGUCAAAAUGUAUUAAAUGCUAUGUUGAAAAUUGAUAGGAAGCCGGAAAAAAUUUCAAAUCAAUGGAAAGAAAUUAAAAACAGACUCAGCACCUUUCCUUUACAAGUCGUAAACACGCUGAUUUCACAGGAACCUUCCCUCUCCCCGCAGAAAAUUACUGACUGGGGCAGAGAUUACAUCUUCCAGCUUGGCGACACUAAUUGAUGAAAUCAAGAAGUUUUAACUUAAAUUUUAUUAUCUUACAAUUCGUUGAGGACAAUUUUAGACAGGAGGGUGGUCAAGUUAACGUAAUGACUUAUAUAAUAUUUCACUAUAAUAUAUUUUGAUCAAUCUUUUCUUCACGAUUGCAAUAACAGAAAAUGCUGUAAUUUUAUUAUGAUCAAUAAUCCUUCGUAGUUGCAUGAAUGGAAAAAAGCAUUAAGCAAUUUAUAAUCGAACAAAAUUAUACCUUUAUAAUAAAUGCUUUCUACAGGAAAAAUGAUACGAUAUAACAACAAUAUUGUUUAUAUAACAUUGACAAUAACUGUGUAUUGUAUCAUAAAUGAAUACUAUAAUAUAAUGCAACCUUAUGAAAAAGAAGACAAUCUAUACCAAUCGAUUUACAUUACAGAUUGAAUUAUCGCACGCAAUAUAAGUUACUUGAGAUAUGAACUAUUGCAUGGCACAUUCGCUAAAAAGAAAAGUUUCCAUUUAUUAUUAUAUAGUUUCCUUUAUUUAUUAUUUUAUGUCAGUAUUUAAAUGCCCGCAUUUUAGCUCUUGCGCCAAUAUAAACCAUAUUCAAUAAUUUAUUAUACAACCGAUCAUCACCGGAAUAAUUAUUAACAUACGAGUUUUAAUUCGUCGAAAUAUACGAAAAAUGCCUAUAA